UCUGUUGCAAAGAGAAGGUUCCUCGAUGG
Molecule: non-coding RNA, 29 nt
Filed under: Mus musculus (house mouse)
Lineage: Eukaryota; Metazoa; Chordata; Mammalia; Rodentia; Muridae
Source: RNAcentral